AUUUGAAACUGUAGCCCUUGAGUAUCGGAGAGGCAAGCGGAAUUCCUAGUGUAGCUGGUGAAAUGCGUAGAUAUUAGGAGGAACACCAGUGGCGAAGGCGGCUUGCUGGACGACAACUGACGCUGAGGCGCGAAAGCGUGGGAGCAAACAGGAUUAGAUAGCCAUGGUAGUCCACGCUGUAAACGAUGAAUACUAGGUGUGGGAGGACUGACCCCUUCCGUGCCGCAGUUAACACAAUAAGUAUUCCACCUGGGGAGUACGACCGCAAGGUUGAAACUCAAAGGAAUUGACGGGGGCCCGCACAAGCAGUGGAUUAUGUGGUUUAAUUCGACGCAACGCGAAGAACCUUACCAGGAUUUGACAUCCUACUAACGAAGUAGAGAUACAUUAGGUGCCCUUCGGGGAAAGUAGAGACAGGUGGUGCAUGGUUGUCGUCAGCUCGUGUCGUGAGAUGUUGGGUUAAGUCCCGCAACGAGCGCAACCCCUAUUGUUAGUUGCUACGCAAGAGCACUCUAGCGAGACUGCCGUUGACAAAACGGAGGAAGGCGGGGACGACGUCAAAUCAUCAUGCCCCUUAUGUCCUGGGCUACACACGUAAUACAAUGGCCGUCAACAAAGGGAAGCAAAACCGCGAGGUAGAGCAAAUCCCCAAAAACGGUCUCAGUUCGGAUUGCAGGCUGCAACUCGCCUGCAUGAAGCUGGAAUUGCUAGUAAUCGCGGAUCAGCAUGCCGCGGUGAAUACUCAGGAAACAGCUAACAC
Molecule: ribosomal RNA, 760 nt
Filed under: uncultured bacterium
Lineage: Bacteria
Description: bacterial SSU rRNA
Rfam family: Bacterial small subunit ribosomal RNA
Source: RNAcentral